AUGGCCACCGGAAGUAAAAUCAAAGAGAGCAAGCAGAGCCCUGAACUACCGAAACAAUUGCCAAUCGACUUUUUGAAGAAAAUUACUAACAAUUUCGCCGAAGAUCGAAUAAUAAGUGAAGGUCCUUUUGGAACACUUUACAAGGGAAUUGUACCAGAUGAUGACAAAGUGAUUGCUGUGAAGAAACUUCAGGACAACGCACCAAUGUCAGCUGACAAAACAUUUAGUAAAGAGGUUCAGAAUAUUAUGGCGCUCAAGCAUGUAAACAUAGUAGAGUUGGUUGGAUUCUGCACUGAAACACAGAAGAAAUUGGUGCAGUUUGAUAAAAGAUAUAUCCAGGCAGACAUCACUGAAAGUUUAAUCUGCUACGAAUAUUUACCUAACGGGAGCCUUCAAGCGAAUCUAUUUGAUACCAAAGCAUCAGCUAAACAGGAAAUCAAUUGGGACACACGCUUCAAAAUAAUCAAGGGGAUUUGCCAGGGAUUGUUUUUCCUACACAAGUUGGAUAUUCCCAUAGUCCAUAUGGAUUUGAAGCCUGAAAAUAUAUUGUUGGGUGUAGAUAUGGUGCCAAAGAUCGCAGACUUUGCACUAUCAAGAGUCUUUGGCCAAGAACAAACCCGAUUAUGCACACAAACAGUUGUGGGAUCUUAUGGCUACAUGGCUCCAGAAUAUCUUUACAGAGGUGAAAUCUCGGCCCAGUCAGACAUAUAUAGUUUAGGCCUAUUGAUAAUCGAGAUCACCACAGGAGAGCAGAAUCCUCGUGAACAACCGUCUGCAAGAAAUUUUGUUGAUAAAGUACGUAAAGAUUGGACACUGCAGCAUAUAACAUCCCACUCCAAGUAUGCAUCGUUAGAUUCAGGAAGCCUCCAAGAAGUUAAAACAUGCAUUGAAAUUGGGAUUAGAUGUGUAGAAAUCGAUCGGAGAAAUAGACCUCCCAUAGAAGAAAUCGUUGGCACACUCGAAGGACUACGUCCAAGCUAA
RNAcentral lists this ribosomal RNA (981 nucleotides) under Triticum aestivum (bread wheat). RNAcentral's name for it is "partial small subunit ribosomal RNA". The record is from RNAcentral. Lineage: Eukaryota; Viridiplantae; Streptophyta; Magnoliopsida; Poales; Poaceae.